AUUGUCUCUCCAGUCUCCACAUCAUUCAGCUGUGCGGCUGAUUCUCGUUUUUGUCAAAGAUAAGUUUUCGACUUUUCGUUAAUUUUGACUUUUUGACUUUAAAUGCCAAUCAAGACUUCGAUUUAUUCUUAGGAGAAAGAAUGAUAUUAUGAGUAUCGUAUUGAGCACUUGUUAUUAAUCGUGCACAAUCUGUGAACCGUUAUUAUGAUGGCUACCGGUGAAUGUUAUUAAUCAUCGAUACUUGCCAAGAAUAGGUAUUUGGAUUCCGGUUAACCUUUGUUUCACAAUGGGGUUGAUAAUUUCAAGAUUUCGGAGAAAGAAAACUUGUAUGGAAGAAUUGGAACUGAUCGAAGAACAAAUUAUCAAAAUAGAAAAAACUAGACAAGUGACUGAAGAAGAACAGAGAAGAGUAAUUGGAAAACUAUUCAUUUAUUCUGUGGGUGCCUAUAUCCUGGCAUUGGCACUAUUCUACUUCUUCUUCUUCCCAGCUACAGUUAGGGCCAGGCUCUUCUAUACUGUUCCUCUCAUCAUAUUUCCAGUAAUUGUUUUUUUAUUGAAGAAGCUGAUCUCAUGGUUUUACAUCCGUCGUAUGGUGAGGCAAAGAGACUUAUUGAUGCAACUGAAAAGUGACAAACGUCAGCUGCUUGAUACAGUGAUGGAGAAGGAGACCUACAAAGUAGCUCGGGUCAUUCUCGAAAAGUUCGCUCCCGACCAGCUGAGGAGCUCCAAGCUGUCAACUCCUGUGAUUGAAAAAUCAAUUAUUCCUGUGAAGAAAGACAUCGUCCCGGUUCCAAAUUCAAACAAAGUAGUCAACUUACCGAUUAAUCCAACCAUCACUGAAAGUGGUUCAGAACUUAGGUAUAGGACACCAACUGUUAGCAUGAGAAAUGCUCAACCAAUCGGAUUUGAGAAUCUCGGUCCAGCGAUGAUGCGUUCACGACCACGACCAGUUUUGCCGCGCGACCCGGGCCUCAUCGAGAGGCUAGUGGACAGCCUGGUGGGAGACGGUCCCAGUCAUCGCUAUGCUCUCAUCUGUUCUAGUUGUCACAGUCAUAACGGCAUGGCUCUGCGAGAAGAGUUUCCAUUCUUAUCGUACAGAUGUUGCUACUGUUUGUUCUACAAUCGGGCAAAGCAGCAGAGACCAGUGCCACCCAAAUUACUAGACAAAGAAAGUUCUGAGAAGAAAGAAGAAGAUGAAUCAACUGCUUCAGAUUCUGGAGAAACAUCCGGAUCAGAUUUCGAGAACAUCAAACCCAAUUCUCAUGAUUUGGAGAAUGAAUCGAUGCUUAUGAAUUCUACAUGAUUAAAGGGAACCUAACAAACUUCAUCUGUAUGGCUUUAGGGUAAGCUAUAGGGCAAAGCUUACGAAUUCUACAAGAUUAAAUGGAACCUGACAAACUUCAUCUGUAUGGCUAUAGGGUGUCGAAAACAACAAAUUUGAUCCAUCGGCGCCGGAACCAGAAAUGGAACCUUCCAAAGAGGAGGAGAAUCCCACUUCCAAGACUGAUAAAGACAUCUAGUUUAUCAUUAAUGAAUUUGAAACAUCGCUCUUUGUUAUUCAUAUUGUCAAUCAACAACUGGUGGCUGACUCUACUUCGAACGGUUUUCAAGCUUUAAAACCGCAAUGAGUUUCAAAAUAGAUUUAAAAAGUGAAUAUAGGCUAUUCAUAAAAACACUUCAAUAAUAUGGGCUACUUUUGUACAAAUUAAUGAAAACAAUAUAAAAACUUUAAAGUAUUUUAACGACUAGUUUCGACCAUAGGUCAUAGGUCAAGUUCAUUUUUAAACUUGAAAAUGAUAUGGUCGAUACCAGCCAUUGAAAUAUUUUUAAGUUAUUCUAACUAAAGUUAUUAACUAAAUAAUUUAGGCUAUUCAUACUAUUUCACUUCACAUUGUAACAAUUAAUGAGUUUCAAGAAUGUUCGUUCCUCUUUUGCUUCAAGAUCUAACACUGGAGGUUUUCAAAAGAUCUGAAAUAAUUUAUUAAUAUUUAUUUUGAUCAUAUAUUUUAAGUGUAUCUCAGAUAUCUUCAAAAUAGCAAAACUCCCUUCUUAAUGGGAAUACUCAGUAUUUUCAUAUUUAUAUUAUGUACAAAGUCUUGUUUAAUGAUCUAGUUUUAUAAAACUAGAUAUAAAUUAUUUAUUGUUUAUUCAUAGUUUUUGGGUGAAUUCUAGUGAUCCAUGUCAAUAUAACUUUGAUGGAUCCCGAAUGUUUCCUUGCAGACUGGUUGUGUAUGUAGAAUCACCUUUCUUUGUGAGAAUUACCUUUCAACCCCAACUAAUGCUCAAUGUUGUAAAGCUGUAGUUUUAAUAAUCCUUAUCAUUCUACUGAAAUUUUCUUAUAGAAAAUAAUAAAAGUUCUAUUCAACUUGGUAUUCAUCAUUCAACAAAUCAUUAUUUUUUGUGGUUGAUUAAUCAGUAAUCAAUUUUAAUCAGUAUUUGGAGUUGAACAUUUUACAAAUUAAUGACAAUUUGUAUUUUUACGUAUGAAAUAUUUAUUUAGAAACUAAAAUUUCAUAAUACAAUGGAAUACCUAGGAAUAAUAAUCUUAUUUGUUAUUUCAUGUUCAUCAUAUUUAUUUGAAAGUAUAAUGAGUGUAAACGGCUUCUUCCCAAUGCAUUUAUAUAGAAAUCAUAGCAAGCGUAAUCAAUAGGCGAUGUAAGUGAUGACGUAAGCCAUUGCUACGACACCAUUUUGGUUUCUAAACAAACCGUUGCUAUGGAGAGAGAGCAUGUUAUUCAACUGGGACUAAAACAUCACCUUACAUUUACGAGUAUAUCAAUGAAAUAAUAGAUUUCUAAGAGUUGAGAAUAUUUUUUUCAAGUUCUACACACUCAAAUCAUCAAUUUCCAGUAUUUAUUCAGAUCGAUUAAAUUUUUUUGGGACAGCCAAAGCAGAAAGUCUCACGAAGUAGAGCUUAUAGUACCAUGUCUGUAGUCUGCUAUGGAAAACCUACCUGUAGAGAAAGUUGAAGUGCAAUUUGAAUUAUUACCUAGAAUUUCAUUAGAUUGUUAUAAAGCUGUAAUUUAAAAAUUCAUAUGAAUAUAUUAUGUUUUUCUAUUGUUUGGUGUAACUGUUAAGGUGCAUACAGACUUUCGCUCUGCUCCGCAACCA
RNAcentral lists this unclassified non-coding RNA (3111 nucleotides) under Nilaparvata lugens (brown planthopper). Its description in RNAcentral is "endoplasmic reticulum junction formation protein lunapark, transcript variant X3". Lineage: Eukaryota; Metazoa; Arthropoda; Insecta; Hemiptera; Delphacidae. The record is from RNAcentral.